This 85-nucleotide transfer RNA is filed under the name Candidatus Melainabacteria bacterium. RNAcentral describes it as "tRNA-Leu". It matches the Rfam family "tRNA". Rfam says of the family: Transfer RNA (tRNA) molecules are approximately 80 nucleotides in length. Their secondary structure includes four short double-helical elements and three loops (D, anti-codon, and T loops). The record is from RNAcentral. Lineage: Bacteria; Bacillati; Candidatus Melainabacteria.
GCCCUUGUGGCGGAAUGGUAGACGCAACGGACUUAAAAUCCGUUGGGAUGAAAAUCCUGUGCCGGUUCGAGUCCGGCCAAGGGCA